RNAcentral lists this ribosomal RNA (468 nucleotides) under uncultured bacterium. RNAcentral describes it as "partial 16S ribosomal RNA". It matches the Rfam family "Bacterial small subunit ribosomal RNA", at positions 28 to 507 of the family's 1533-position model. The record is from RNAcentral.
GACGAACGCUGGCGGCGUGCUUAACACAUGCCAGUCGAACGGAAAGGCCCUGCUUUUGUGGGGUGCUCGAGUGGCGAACGGGUGAGUAACACGUGAGUAACCUGCCCUUGACUUUGGGAUAACUUCAGGAAACUGGGGCUAAUACCGGAUAGGAGCUCCUGCUGCAUGGUGGGGGUUGGAAAGUUUCGGCGGUUGGGGAUGGACUCGCGGCUUAUCAGCUUGUUGGUGGGGUAGUGGCUUACCAAGGCUUUGACGGGUAGCCGGCCUGUGAGGGUGACCGGCCUAAUGGGGACUGAGAUACGGCCCAGACUACUACGGGAGGCAGCAGUGGGAAGUAUUGCACAGUAGGCGGAAGCCUGAUGCAGCAACGCCGCGUGCGGGAUGACGGCCUUCGGGUUGUAAACCGCUUUCGCCUGUGACGAAGCGUGAGUGACGGUAAUGGGUAAAGAAGCACCGGCUAACUACGUG